Pan paniscus (pygmy chimpanzee) is the source of this 1620-nucleotide long non-coding RNA. NCBI's taxonomy places the organism in Eukaryota, Metazoa, Chordata, Mammalia, Primates, Hominidae. The record is from Ensembl.
CCACGUUUGCAGCAUUGAGGAGCCUGGCCCCUCCCCUUCCUGUGUGGAACUUGGAAUUCGAACGGCAGGCGGGAAGUGCUCUAGCAGGGGAGUCUGACCUUGUGAGGGAAUACCUGUGUCCCCCCUUUUUUCCCCUUUUUACCCAAUAAAACCCUGCCUUACUCACCCUUUAAAUCAUCUGCGCGCCUCAAUUUUCAUGGCCGUGGGACGGACAAGAACUUUGUCUUCAGCUGAACUAAGAAAAAGUCCUGCAACAUUUUUGGCGCGCAAUGUGGGGGCACCAGAAGCGGGCACCGUUGAGCUGUUGCAACUGUUCUGCUGCCAUGGCGCGUAUUCCUCAUCAGAAGGCUUUAUGAAUGGGAGCUCAUUAAUCAAGCAGUCAUCCCAAGAGGCAGAGCAGAGGCAGAAUCUGAGCUUGGAAGGUGUCCGGAAACUGCCAGGUGCAGAAGCAUGCAUUUACUCGCUCGUUCAUCAGUGCCUGGAUGUCAAAAGGGCUUUCUAAAUAACUAUGCUGAGUAACGCUCCAAUUCUAGUUUCUGCAUUUCUGCAUAUUUCACAGCCUGUGCCUAUCAGCUCCAAGACAGAUCCUAACCUUUGCCUUUAGACGGACAUCCAUUUGAAAUCCAUCUUUAGCAAAUAUUAAGUUUGUGGGUUUGGACAACUUAGUUGAAUGUUUUGAUCAUUAAUUUUCUCAUCCAUAAAACCAGGAUCUUUAUUUUCUAGUGUUGCUGAGAAAAUUUUAUAAGGUGACGUAAGCAAAGAACCUACCAGGGUCUGGUUACAUGCCUGGCUUUCUAUUAAUUCUUUAAGAAAAAGUGUGUUAUAAUUGCUUCCCUGAAGCACUCUCAUUUCUCUGUUAUUUUGGUCACAUCAUCAUCAUCAUAUCUCUUUUAUUGAGUGUGACUGUUUGCCAUGCUAUUGCAUGUGUGGGGAAUGUGUGUAUGUUUAUGUAUGCAUGUAUAUAUGUAUGCAUAGUAAAUCACCUUUAUGUAUGCAUAGUUAAGAAACCUGGAAGGGACUAUGAUUUAUGUGAUUUAUUCAUGUUAAGCAAAUAAUAUUCACAUUAACUCUGUGAAUAAAUAUUGUUCUCAUUUUACAGCUGAGGAAACCAAAUCUGAAAGAGAUUAAGAAACAUGAGCAGUAUCAAAUGACUAGACAAUGUCUCAGCUGAAUUCAAAUCUUCUUUUUAAACUCCAUCUACCUGCUCUAUCUGACAUUAAUAAACAUUCCAAGAAGAAUGUCUGCAAAGAGGAGAGACUGAGAAUUACUAGCCACUCAAUUAGGUCACUUAACAUCUUAUAUUAGCUGCUCAUUUCAUUUGGGAGCAAGGAGAACUGGGUUCUCAUUCUUCAGCCAAUGAGCUGGAGAAACCUGGACAAAUAAUUUAAUUGCUUGAGGCUUAAUUGUCCAAUCACUGAAAUGUAAGAAAAUAAGAAAUAAUCUUUAAAUUUACUUUCAAUUAAAUAAAACACUGAUUGUUAAUACAUAUUUGAAAAUAUACUAGAAACUGAAUGUGCAAAUUAGGAUAAUGAAUUGCACUCUAAAUUUAAAAUGCAAGAAAUGAUGUAUUUUAUUUCUUAUUUAUACAUGUAUAUUAUUUCAAGAAUUAUAAAUCUCAAC